CACCUCUAGCAUUUCCAGUAUUAGAGGCACUGCCUGCCCAGUGACAUCUGUUUAAACGGCCGCGGUAUCCUAACCGUGCAAAGGUAGCAUAAUCACUUGUUCCCUAAAUAGGGACUUGUAUGAAUGGCCACACGAGGGUUUUACUGUCUCUUACUUCCAAUCAGUGAAAUUGACCUUCCCGUGAAGAGGCGGGAAUGACUAAAUAAGACGAGAAGACCCUAUGGAGCUUUAAUUAACUGAUUCACAAAAAACAACACACAAACCUAACCUUCAGGGACAACAAAACUUUUGAUUGAAUCAGCAAUUUCGGUUGGGGUGACCUCGGAGAACAAAACAACCUCCGAGUGAUUUAAAUCCAGACUAACCAGUCAAAAUAUAUAAUCACUUAUUGAUCCAAACCAUUGAUCAACGGAACAAGUUACCCUAGGGAUAACAGCGCAAUCCUAUUCCAGAGUCCAUAUCGACAAUUAGGGUUUACGACCUCAAUGUUGGAUCAAGACAUCCUAAUGGUGCAACCGCUAUUAAGGGUUCGUUUGUUCAACGAUUAAAGUCUU
Molecule: ribosomal RNA, 554 nt
Filed under: Equus caballus (horse)
Lineage: Eukaryota; Metazoa; Chordata; Mammalia; Perissodactyla; Equidae
Description: partial large subunit ribosomal RNA
Rfam family: Bacterial large subunit ribosomal RNA
Source: RNAcentral